GAACCUGAAACCAUUUUCCAGAAGUCCUCCUCACAGCUGCCAAAUCUCAUCGAUGUUUCUGUUGGAACUCAGCUGCUGAUUCAGCACUUGUUUGCUGUUGGGAAGAACUUCAAGUCUCAACCAAGUCUCGUAAAACAACGUGGCUCCAGUAAAUCAUACUGCCUUUUUGUGGAUGUUGAAGGUCAAUAGAACGACCUUCCUGAAAAUCCAGAGAGGUAGGAGUGCUCUCACUUUAUAACUACUUCAGCAAGCCCAGGCCCCACAGUUCACCUGCAUCUUACAGCCAUCGACAUGGGCAGUUACACAGAGCGGCGACAGCUCCUGCCCUCCCUGCUGCUGGAACAGAGCCCCUCCAGUCUGUUUUUGAGCAUGUUAUGACCACUCGAUCGAGCCAUCAUUUGAUCACACACCACUGGCUUCAGUAACCAGGCUCUGGCCUCACUUUCUUUCUGCCAAUGAAGAGGAUCCUGUCGCAGUGUUACUCUGCCGUGUGCAGCUUUGGAGGAAGGAGAAGGUGUAAAGGGAAGAAGGAUAUCUUGAGGUUUGCUGUUUGGAGCUGGCUCUGUGUUGUAUUUCACUAUACUGAGAUGGAUCUCGAUGUCCUUGGGAAGACAGCAGAGGCUGACGUCCUCCCCACCACACCGGGUUGAAGUGCAGUCCCCAUCACAUGCUGAGGGCAGAGCAGUGCUCAGAGGUGCCCCUUGGGUUUAGGACAAUUUCCUGAAGAUGCUCAGGCUGGCUUGGCCCAUGGAACUGACAAAUCCCAGGCCAGCUGAGGUACUCUGAGCAGCUCUGUCUGUACUUUUCCAUUGAUCCUUUGCCUAGAUAUAUAGUUCUGAUUUUGUCUGUGUCAUGGGAAGAUGUCAUCUUGAUCCCUCUACAAGGCUUUCAAAUAGUAACAUUUUGUUUGAAGGGAAAAGGAAAGAAAAAAGCAAGUGACAAAGAGCACUUAAUCAGUAUUACUCAGUAUGUUUACAUUUAUGCUUGAAGAUGAGCAACAUGAUGUAUUUCUGUUCGUGUUCAUGUGGAUAAAAACCUUCUAUGCAAUUGCUAUGACCUACCAUUUAAAAAUAAAUAAUAACACACUAAGGCUUCUUAAUGGUUC
Molecule: long non-coding RNA, 1105 nt
Filed under: Numida meleagris (helmeted guineafowl)
Lineage: Eukaryota; Metazoa; Chordata; Aves; Galliformes; Numididae
Description: lncRNA (ENSNMEG00000017950.1)
Source: RNAcentral